GCUGAGGGUGGCUCAGUGGCACAGCACAUGCUUAGCAUUUAUGAGGCCCUUAGUUCAAUUCCUCAAUCCCCAGCA
RNAcentral lists this transfer RNA (75 nucleotides) under Marmota monax (woodchuck). RNAcentral describes it as "tRNA.Ala". The record is from RNAcentral. Lineage: Eukaryota; Metazoa; Chordata; Mammalia; Rodentia; Sciuridae.